AUCUUAUGUAUAUAAAAACAAGUGCUGUCAGUUGAACGCGUUAUUAACGGUGUUAACGCGAACCCAUUUUAAAACGGCAUUUUUUUAUCGUAAGAUUAACGUUCUUUUUGGUCU
Etheostoma spectabile (orangethroat darter) is the source of this 114-nucleotide long non-coding RNA. RefSeq lists it as uncharacterized. NCBI's taxonomy places the organism in Eukaryota, Metazoa, Chordata, Actinopteri, Perciformes, Percidae. The transcript has 3 exons. The record is from RefSeq and is a predicted model, not a curated record.